This 497-nucleotide ribosomal RNA is filed under the name uncultured bacterium. Its description in RNAcentral is "partial 16S ribosomal RNA". It matches the Rfam family "Bacterial small subunit ribosomal RNA", at positions 28 to 507 of the family's 1533-position model. The record is from RNAcentral.
GAUGAACGCUGGCGGCGUGCCUAAUACAUGCAAGUCGAGCGCACAGAUAAGGACCUUGCUUCUUUGACGUUAGCGGCUGACGGGUGAGUAACACGUGGGUGACUUAGUUAUAAGACUGGAAUAAGUGCGUGACACCGGGGCUAGUUCCGGAUAACAUUUAGAUCCUCAUUGUUCUAUAGUGAUAGAUUGAUUUGCUCAAACUUAUCGCUAGACCCGGGUCCUAUUAGCUAGUUGGUAGGGUAACGGGUAACCAAGGCAACGAUACGUAGCCGACCUGCGAGGGUGAUCGGCCACACGGGACCUGAGACACGGUCCAGACCCCUACGGGAGGAGGCAGAAGGGAAUCUUGCGAAAUGGGCGAAAGCCUGACGGAGCAACGCGGCGGGAUUGAUGAGGGUCUUCGAAUCGUAAAACUCUGUGAAUAGGGAAGAACAAAGGUGUAAGUAACUGUGCACGUCUUGACGGUACCUAAUCAGAAAGCCACGGCUAACUACGUG